UCAGUUUGUAUACCGUUGUUAUAAGAAUAUUUUAUUAGAAUAAUAAUUUUCUAGAAUUUUUAUAAAAAUUUAUAUCAGAUCAAGGUGCAGCUUAUGUUUAAGUAGAGAUGGGUUACAAUAAAUUUAUUUAUAUGAAUUAAUUUUUGAAAUAAAAUUAUGAAGGUGGAUUUGAAUGUAAAAUUAUAAAGAUAAAUAAUUUGAUUUUAGCUCUAAAAUAUGUACACAUCGCCCGUCACUCUUAUUAUUAAGGUAAGAUAAGUCGUAACAUAGUAGAUGUACUGGAAAGUGUCUCUAGAAUGCAAUUUAAAGCUUAAAUAGUAAAGCAUUUCAUUUACAUUGAAAAGAUUUUUGUGCAAAUCAAUAUAAAUUGAUUAAUUUUAAUUUAUUUAAAUAAUUAAUUUUAAUUUGAAUUUUUUUUAUUAGAAAUAACUUUAAUAAAAUAUGUUUAAGUAUUGUAUAAAGAAUUAAUAAUUUUAAUAAUAGUGUAUUAGUAUUGUGAAAGAAAAUUGAAAUAAUUUG
Molecule: ribosomal RNA, 519 nt
Filed under: Sepsis sp. 'Isangi'
Lineage: Eukaryota; Metazoa; Arthropoda; Insecta; Diptera; Sepsidae
Description: partial 12S ribosomal RNA
Rfam family: tRNA (bases 300-371)
Source: RNAcentral